RNAcentral lists this ribosomal RNA (107 nucleotides) under Dehalococcoidia bacterium. The record is from RNAcentral. RNAcentral also lists the same sequence under 1 other name. Lineage: Bacteria; Bacillati; Chloroflexota; Dehalococcoidia.
CCCGGUGACUAUAGGUACUUGGCCAUACCCGUUCCCAUCCCGAACACGGUCGUCAAGCAAGUGCCGCCGAUGAUAGUGCUAUGCGCGAAAGUAGGUCAUUGCCGGGU